Molecule: ribosomal RNA, 253 nt
Filed under: uncultured bacterium
Lineage: Bacteria
Description: partial 16S ribosomal RNA
Rfam family: Bacterial small subunit ribosomal RNA
Source: RNAcentral
UACGUAGGGUGCAAGCGUUGUCCGGAAUUAUUGGGCGUAAAGAGCUCGUAGGCGGUUUGUCGCGUCUGCUGUGAAAACUCAGGGCUUAACCCUGAGCCUGCAGUGGGUACGGGCAGACUAGAGUGUGGUAGGGGAGAUCGGAAUUCCUGGUGUAGCGGUGGAAUGCGCAGAUAUCAGGAGGAACACCGGUGGCGAAGGCGGAUCUCUGGGCCGUAACUGACGCUGAGGAGCGAAAGCAUGGGGAGCGAACAGG